GGGGAAGUACUUUAAAUAAAAGAUUUGAUUUGCAAUUAGAAAAUGAGUUAUGUAUACUCCUUUCCCA
RNAcentral lists this transfer RNA (67 nucleotides) under Acanthopleura vaillantii. Its description in RNAcentral is "tRNA-Ala". Lineage: Eukaryota; Metazoa; Mollusca; Polyplacophora; Chitonida; Chitonidae. The record is from RNAcentral.